RNAcentral lists this ribosomal RNA (460 nucleotides) under uncultured bacterium. Its description in RNAcentral is "partial 16S ribosomal RNA". It matches the Rfam family "Bacterial small subunit ribosomal RNA", at positions 338 to 795 of the family's 1533-position model. The record is from RNAcentral.
CCUACGGGGGGCAGCAGUGAGGAAUAUUGGUCAAUGGGCGUAAGCCUGAACCAGCCAAGUCGCGUGGGGGAUGAAGGUCCUAUGGAUCGUAAACCUCUUUUAUAAGGGAAUAAAGUGUGGCACGUGUCCUUUUUUGUAUGUACUUUAUGAAUAAGGGUCGGCUAACUCCGUGCCAGCAGCCGCGGUAAUACGGAGGAUCCGAGCGUUAUCCGGAUUUAUUGGGUGUAAAGGGUGCGUAGGCGGCUUUUUAAGUCAGUGGUGAAAGUUUGUGGCUCAACCAUAGAAUUGCCGUUGAAACUGGGGGGCUUGAGUAUGUUUGAGGCAGGCGGAAUGCGUGGUGUAGCGGUGAAAUGCUUAGAUAUCACGCAGAACCCCGAUUGCGAAGGCAGCCUACCAAGCCAUGACUGACGCUGAUGCACGAAAGCGUGGGGAUCAAACAGGAUUAGAUACCCGAGUAGUC